Molecule: ribosomal RNA, 813 nt
Filed under: uncultured Bacillota bacterium
Lineage: Bacteria; Bacillati; Bacillota
Description: bacterial SSU rRNA
Rfam family: Bacterial small subunit ribosomal RNA
Source: RNAcentral
CAAGUCGAACGUGAAAGCCCCCUUCGGGGGGCAAGUAGAGUGGCGCACGGGUGAGUAACACGUAGGUAAUCUACCUUCGGAUGGGGAAUAACAACCGGAAACGGUUGCUAAUACCGCAUAAUGCAGCGGCACCUAAUGGUGACAGUUGUUAAAGCGGGGGAUCGAAAGACCUCGCGUCUGAAGAGGAGCCUGCGGCGGAUUAGCUAGUUGGUAAGGUAAUGGCUUACCAAGGCGACGAUCCGUAGCCGGCCUGAGAGGGCGGUCGGCCACACUGACACUGACAUACGGGUCAGACUCCUACGGGAGGCAGCAGUCGGGAAUUUUGGGCAAUGGGCGAAAGCCUGACCCAGCAACGCCGCGUGAAGGAUGAAAUCCCUCGGGAUGUAAACUUCGCAAGAACGGGAAGAAUAAGUUGGUGCUAACACCACCGGCGAUGACGGUACCGUUUGUAAGCUCCGGCUAACUCCGUGCCAGCAGCCGCGGUAAUACGGGGGGAGCAAGCGUUGUUCGGAUUUACUGGGCGUAAAGGGCGCGUAGGCGGCCACCGCAAGUCAAUUGUGAAAUCUCCGGGCUUAACUCGGAAAGGUCAACUGAUACUGCGGGGCUAGAGUGCAGAAGGGGCAACUGGAAUUCUCGGUGUAGCGGUGAAAUGCGUAGAUAUCGAGAGGAACACCUGCGGCGAAGGCGGGUUGCUGGGCUGACACUGACGCUGAGGCGCGAAAGCUAGGGGAGCGAACGGGAUUAGAUACCCCGGUAGUCCUAGCCUUAAACGAUGAAUGCUUGGUGUCUGGGGUUUUAAAGUCCCCGGGUGCC